RNAcentral lists this ribosomal RNA (513 nucleotides) under uncultured bacterium. RNAcentral's name for it is "bacterial SSU rRNA". It matches the Rfam family "Bacterial small subunit ribosomal RNA", at positions 38 to 507 of the family's 1533-position model. The record is from RNAcentral.
GGCGGCAUGCCUAAGACAUGCAAGUCGAACGAAGUGAACCGAUGAAGUUAGAGUGCUUGCACAAAGAUGAAUUCGGAUCUCACUUAGUGGCGGACGGGUGAGUAACACGUGGGUAAUCUACCUUUAAGAUUGGGACAACACAGGGAAACUUGUGCUAAUACCGAAUAGGAAGUAGAAAUGUAUUUUUUGUUUUGGAAGGUGCCUUUAAAGCACUACUUAAAGAUGAGCCUGCGGCGUAUUAGUUAGUUGGUAGGGUAAUGGCCUACCAAGACAAUGAUGCGUAGCCGAACUGAGAGGUUGAUCGGCCACAUUGGGACUGAGACACGGCCCAAACUCCUACGGGAGACAGCAGUUAGGAAUAUUCGUCAAUGGGGGAAACCCUGAACGAGCAAUGCCGCGUGAGUGAUGAAGGUCUUUAUGAUUGUAAAACUCUGUUGUAUGGGAAGAACACUAAGUAUAGGAAAUGAUACUUAGCUGACGGUACCAUGCCAGAAAGCCCCGGCUAACUACGUG